CGAAUUUUAAUCUUGGUAAUGAGAAUUUACUUUGAUAUUAAAGGUAAAUACUGACCUGAACUGAAUUGAUAAGAAUGAUCUCACAAAGGCAGAACAGGAUUUGUUACAUGUCUAUUCAUGACUUAUGUUUGGUUUGCCACUAUGAGCAGACCCCCCUCCACCAUGGGUGGCAAUUCUUGGAGGAAUCAUCGGGAUCAUUGUGCUCAUGGUUGUAUGUGUUUGGUAAGUAUGACAUAUUAAAGCAGCUAAAGUGAUUCAGAUACUGGGACUUAAAGGGUAACUCAACAUUUUUAGCUCUCAGUGAAAUUAAUUUUAACGUUGAAAAUAAAUAACAUUCGUUAUAGGGAAUGUGGAGAGAGACUGUUUACUGUUCCUGCAGCGUUUUCUUCCAGUGUAACAGUUUAGGAAGCGCUGAAUUAUUUACAGAAUAUAAUCAUUUGUCCUUUAUUAACACAAUAUCAAUAAUUCAUUUUUUGAAAGUCACAAUUAUUGUUCAUAGCAGCUUAUGAUUAUUGUCCUUAGCAGUGACACCCCCAGUGGGCACCAGGUUUAGAGACGCAGUCCACUGGUCUGCAUCGCACUCACAUAACACUGUUUGACUAAUGGACCUUUAAAAAACAGGUGAUCGAAAUGGAAACAGCAGAACAGAGAUCACUUUCUCUGUUCCACACAUUCUUCUUCCUUUUGAAAACCUGACACCCACAUUACCCAACAUGCAGCUCAGCUACCAAGUAACGUAGCUGGAGGUAAUUUAUCAGAUUACAUCCAACUUCCUCUCGAACCUUCAAAGGCUUCAUACUACUUUUACUUACAUGUGCAGUAGAACUCUACAACACCUGUAAACACACUUGCAUGUCUAAAAUCAGUGGCGUUAUCCUUUAAAAGAGCACAUUUCUAUAUUUGGUGUACGUACCAAUCCAGAUUUCUCACUGAUGGUUUUAUUUGACACUGACAGCAUCCUGAAGUGUGUGAGGCGGUCAAAGUCGACGGAUUCAAUUCAACAACAGAAUCAGAGUCAAACAGGUGACGAGCUGACGACUGAAGAGCCAGCAAGGAUGAGAGAAGCAGAGGACGAAAACAUCCAUUAUGGAGAGAUUGACUUCUCCAUGCACAGACCUAAAACUUCCUCUGAUUUGCCGCGGGACAGUGGUCAGCAGCAGGAGAUACUGUAUGCACAGGUCAAAGUGUCGAGUACAACAACCAGCUCAACACAGGUUUCUGAUGGCCCAGAGGAUCUCUACGCUCAAGUGAAGAAAAAAUGAGAGUUGUUGGGUUCGUGGAAAGAGAUCACAUUUGAAUGGGAUUCAUACUAAAUGUACCUUUAUUUUUCAGUUAUUGUUAAUGUAGAAAAAGAUCAUGAAGCAUGGACAGGAAAAUGACACAAUGUCUUUUUGUCACUUAUCGACAUGUCCAUAUGUGGGUUCUGACCUCACACAGCUGUUACUAUGGGAUUUAUACAUGUCUGAUAUGUGCAAAUAAAAGCCCAAAGUCUCAGGAACAAGACUCUUAAUGACACCAGAAUUAUUUCUAUACACACAUUAACAAUGCAGUGUGGUU
This 1557-nucleotide long non-coding RNA is filed under the name Sparus aurata (gilthead seabream). RNAcentral describes it as "lncRNA (ENSSAUG00010006820.1)". Lineage: Eukaryota; Metazoa; Chordata; Actinopteri; Spariformes; Sparidae. The record is from RNAcentral.